UACGUAGGGUGCAAGCGUUGUCCGGAAUUAUUGGGCGUAAAGAGCUUGUAGGCGGUUUGUCGCGUCUGCUGUGAAAUUUCGGGGCUCAACCCCGAACUUGCAGUGGGUACGGGCAGACUAGAGUGUGGUAGGGGAGACUGGAAUUCCUGGUGUAGCGGUGAAAUGCGCAGAUAUCAGGAGGAACACCGGUGGCGAAGGCGGCAUCCUGGACCAACACUGACGCUGAGGAGCGAAAGCCAGGGGAGCAAACGGG
RNAcentral lists this ribosomal RNA (253 nucleotides) under uncultured bacterium. RNAcentral describes it as "partial 16S ribosomal RNA". It matches the Rfam family "Bacterial small subunit ribosomal RNA", at positions 524 to 776 of the family's 1533-position model. The record is from RNAcentral.